RNAcentral lists this small nuclear RNA (33 nucleotides) under Cervus elaphus hippelaphus. The record is from RNAcentral. Lineage: Eukaryota; Metazoa; Chordata; Mammalia; Artiodactyla; Cervidae.
CUCGGCCUUUUGGCUAAGGUCAAGUGUAGUAUC